RNAcentral lists this ribosomal RNA (96 nucleotides) under Carpinus japonica (Japanese hornbeam). The record is from RNAcentral. Lineage: Eukaryota; Viridiplantae; Streptophyta; Magnoliopsida; Fagales; Betulaceae.
UGCACCGGAUCCCAUCAGAACUCUGCAGUUAAGCGUGCUUGGGCGAGAGUAGUACUAGGAUGGGUGACCUCCUGGGAAGUCUUCGUGUUGCACCCC